GAAAAAGCAAAAUAAAACUUAUUUAUACAUGAACACACACCAGAAGGCAAUUUAUGGAAUUAAAAUUAGGAUAGUUGCUGCCCUUUUUCAAAUUCUGAAUUUAAUACUUGGUUCUAACACCUCUGUAGUCUUAAACGAAGAAACACAGUGAUGCCAUGUCCAUAGUUUAUUUAAUUCUCUUGCUGAUUUCUUUCCUUUUUUCUUUUCACGGUUGUACCUGUGCCAUAUGGAAGUUCCCUGGCCAUAGGUCGAAUCUGAGCUGCAGUUGCAGCCCCAGGCAUGGCCGCACCAGAUCUGAGCUGCAUCUGUGACCUACGCCACAGCUUGUGGCAAUGCUGGAUCCUUCGCCCACUGAGCAAGGCCAGGGAUCAAACCCACAUCCUUACAGAGACAAUGUCAUGUCCUUAACCUGCUGAGCCACAGUGGGAACUCCACUCUUGGUAAUUUCUGACUUUGCCAAAGUUAUCAACUCUGUGUUAAACAUUAGUAAAUAAUUUGUGUCAUCAUCUGCAGACCCUACCACUUGGCACAGUGUCUGGACUCUAUCAACAGCUGAAAAUCUGCCUCCGGAACCGAUGAGUGAUGGAUGUGAUAAAUAGCUGAGAAAACUGAGAUCCUCCCAUCUACGCCUCACCUCUAACAGUGGAAAUCAAGCAAUCAGUUUGGACUAAAAAGAACCCAUAUUAAAGCUGACAGCAUGUGAGGAAAUGCAAGAACGUGGAUGUUCUGAGGCUUUGGCCACUGAAAUAGUUGCUAAUUGUCUAAUGAUGUUUGCCCUCAAGAAGUGUUCAUUUAAUCGGGUCCUUCAUCAUUGGUCCAUAAGGGAUGGUUCUCCUGUUUGAAGUCUAUGUCUACAUUCUAUUUUUGAUCAUGAAAAGGAUGUAGAGAUACUGGAACGUAUUAGAAAAAUGUAAAAAAAAAAAAAAUAUAUAUAUAUCACAAUGACGAGCAUUUUAUUGAGGAAAGAUUGAGAUGACCAAAUCACAUCUCCUGGUGAUAUGUGGAAGGGAAGGAAUCCCCAGACAGAGAUGACGCUCCUCCGAGUCAGUGAGACAUUGAAGAACAAGGCAUUUGGGGGAGCGCAGCAGAGAAGGAGUCAAGAGGCAGCAAGGACAGCAAGAGAAGCCUGUGCUAAGAAGCAGAAUUUUGUCUUGAAAAGCCUCAAUCCAGGACUGCCCAUCUUUGACCUAUGCUGAAAUAUGAUCUAAAUCAUCAGAUUCUCCAGUCCUGUCUAGAAUCCAGGGAUGCAUCCCUGACUGCAGCCCACUGGUCCAAGCAACAUCGCCCUCAUGUCCCAGCCUGUUCUCCUGACGGUGCCAGCCCCCAUUACUGAUAACAGUAUGAGGGACCAAUUCCCUGCCUGAACCCCAGAGAUGAAUGUAACCCCUCUACGCACUAACAAUAAGGAGAAAACUAGGAGGGUCAAACAUCCAAAAUACAAACCAGGAAAGGUGCAGAGAAGUGAAAGUGGG
Molecule: long non-coding RNA, 1472 nt
Filed under: Sus scrofa (pig)
Lineage: Eukaryota; Metazoa; Chordata; Mammalia; Artiodactyla; Suidae
Description: lncRNA (ENSSSCG00050034419.1)
Source: RNAcentral